Molecule: ribosomal RNA, 991 nt
Filed under: Velutinodorcus velutinus
Lineage: Eukaryota; Metazoa; Arthropoda; Insecta; Coleoptera; Lucanidae
Description: partial 16S ribosomal RNA
Rfam family: Archaeal large subunit ribosomal RNA (bases 418-668)
Source: RNAcentral
UAAAAGGAGUUUGAAUUUUAAAUUUUCUCGAAUUUAUAAGAGCUAAGAAUAUAUAAAUUUUAAUGUAGAAGAAUUAUUUAUAAUAUAUUUUUUGAUAUUAUACGUUAGUCGGGUAUAAAUAUAUCUAGUUUUUUAAGAAAUUAAUUUAAUUAAGCUAAUUGUAGGGGUGAUUUAUUUUGUAAAUAUACCUAAUAAUUAAGUAAUAUUUAAGGGGAUAAGCUUUUAAGUAGAAGUUUAAAAGAAGUUUAUAUUUUAAAGUUGAAUAGGAAUAGAAGUUUUCAUUUUUUGUAGUGUUUUAUAUCAAGACUUUAAUUUAAGUGAUUUGUUUUUUUUUAGUUUGUUUAUUAAAAUAUUAAAAUUAAUUUGAUAGUUUUAGGUAAUAAUGAUAAAAUUAGUAUAGGAAUUUGUUUAAGUGUUUAUGAAUAUAAAUUUUAAUUAAGGAAUUCGGCAAAUUUAUUUUCUGCCUGUUUAUUAAAAACAUGGCUUUUUGGGAAUAAUUUAAGGUCAGGCCUGCCCCAUGAUUAAUUAAAUGGCCGCGGUACUCUGACCGUGCAAAGGUAGCAUAAUCAUUAGUUUUUUAAUUGAAAGCUGGAAUGAACGGUCUUACAAGAAAAUUACUGUCUCAAUUAAAUGAUUUUAGAAUUUUAUUUUUUAGUUAGAAAGCUAAAAUGUUUUUAGGGGACGAGAAGACCCUAUAGAAUUUAAUAAGGUUUUUUUAGAUUGUGUUUUUGGUUUAAUUAUUUUGGUUUAGUGGAACUUAUUUUGUUGGGGUGAUUGAAAAAUUUAGUAAACUUUUUUUUUUAUAAGAUUACUAAUAUGUAUAUUUAUGAUCCGUUUUUUACGAUUAAAAGAAUAAAUUACCUUAGGGAUAACAGCGUAAUUAGUUUGGAGAGUUCUUAUCGAUAAACUAGUUUGCGACCUCGAUGUUGGAUUAAAAUUAACUUUUGGUGUAGGGGCUAAUAGGUUGAGUCUGUUCGACUUUUAAAAUUUU